Molecule: long non-coding RNA, 649 nt
Organism: Nothobranchius furzeri (turquoise killifish)
Lineage: Eukaryota; Metazoa; Chordata; Actinopteri; Cyprinodontiformes; Nothobranchiidae
Source: RefSeq, a predicted model, not a curated record
UGCGUUUGUUUGUUUGUUUGUGUGUGUGCGUGCGCGCGCGCGCGCGUGGUUCGUUCGUUCUGUCUCCAGGCUAGUGGCUAAGUACUGAGGGCUUCAUCUAUCUAAAAGGAGUUAUUUCCAUCUGAAUUUGGCAGCACCGGGACACAGCAGCAGAGCGAGUCCACAUCCAGAAGACUGGAGCCGUGUUUCACUGACAGGCUGUCAGACUAACGCCCUGAUGAGCUCAGCUGGGACAAACUGGUCUGAUGUUUAGGAACACAGAACGUUCAGAUGUUGGCGUUUCACGUCACCUACUGAGGAAGGAGACCCACCAGUAAAGAGACGGUCUGGACCAGACCAAAAAUAUGGCGAUGACAUCAUGGAACUGGUCUUUGGAAAAGUUUUCCCUGAACCAACUCCGUUUCUAGAUGAGGUAGAGAAGAUCUGCAUCUCACCAACUCUCUGGUCUCAGUAUUCAGACAACGGAGGUCUCCCACUGUUGUCCAGGACCAGUUUGAAGCCCACAUACUGCCCCUCCCUCAUCAUCAGGAAACAUCAAUCCGUAUCCUGAGGACAACAGAAGACGGCAGGAGGACAGGAACUCUGAGACCUAGACACCACCAGCACCGAGACACAAAGCACCUGUGUGCACAAAGCCUGUUUAAUUACU